RNAcentral lists this ribosomal RNA (549 nucleotides) under uncultured bacterium. RNAcentral describes it as "bacterial SSU rRNA". It matches the Rfam family "Bacterial small subunit ribosomal RNA", at positions 217 to 783 of the family's 1533-position model. The record is from RNAcentral.
GCCUGUAGAUGAGCUUGCGUCCGAUUAGCUAGAUGGAGUGGUAACGGCACACCAUGGCGACGAUCGGUAACUGGUCUGAGAGGAUGACCAGUCACACUGGAACUGAGACACGGUCCAGACUCCUACGGGAGGCAGCAGUGGGGAAUUUUCCGCAAUGGGCGAAAGCCUGACGGAGCAAUACCGCGUGAGGGACGAAGGCCUGUGGAUUGUAAACCUCUUUUGUUAGGGAAGAUAAUGACGGUACCUAACGAAUAAGCAUCGGCUAACUCCGUGCCAGCAGCCGCGGUAAGACGGAGGAUGCAAGCGUUAUCCGGAAUUAUUGGGCGUAAAGCGUACGUAGGCGGUUUUAUAAGUCUGUUGUCAAAGCCCGAGGCUUAACCUUGGAAAGGCAAUGGAAACUGUAAGACUAGAGAGAGAUAGGGGCAGGAGGAAUUCCAGGUGUAGCGGUGAAAUGCGUAGAUAUCUGGAAGAACACCAGUGGCGAAAGCGUCCUGCUGGAUCUCAACUGACGCUGAAGUACGAAAGCUAGGGGAGCGAAUGGGAUUAGAU